GACGAACGCUGGCGGCGUGCCUAACACAUGCAAGUCGAGCGAUGCGAUCCUUCGGGAUCAAUUAGCGGCGGACGGGUGAGUAACACGUGGGUAACCUGCCUCAAAGAGGGGAAUAGCCUCCCGAAAGGGAGAUUAAUACCGCAUAAUAUGUUUUGAUCGCAUGAUCUUAACAUCAAAGGAAUUUUUCGGAAUUCCACUUUGAGAUGGACCCGCGGCGCAUUAGCUAGUUGGUGAGGUAAAGGCCCACCAAGGCAACGAUGCGUAGCCGACCUGAGAGGGUGAUCGGCCACAUUGGAACUGAGACACGGUCCAGACUCCUACGGGAGGCAGCAGUGGGGAAUAUUGCGCAAUGGGGGAAACCCUGACGCAGCAACGCCGCGUGAAUGAUGAAGGCCUUCGGGUUGUAAAGUUCUGUCUUCUGGGACGAUAAUGACGGUACCAGAG
Molecule: ribosomal RNA, 444 nt
Filed under: uncultured bacterium
Lineage: Bacteria
Description: bacterial SSU rRNA
Rfam family: Bacterial small subunit ribosomal RNA
Source: RNAcentral